Long non-coding RNA from Mastomys coucha (southern multimammate mouse), 292 nucleotides. RefSeq lists it as uncharacterized. Lineage: Eukaryota; Metazoa; Chordata; Mammalia; Rodentia; Muridae. The transcript is spliced from 2 exons. The record is from RefSeq and is a predicted model, not a curated record.
UGGGGCAGUUGCCAUUGCCAUAGCCCUGCCUGGAUCUACGCUAUUUCAUCAUCUAGAGGUCCCAGGAAGAUUUUCAUGGGUAUAAGAACAAAGAGAGGCAGAGGACAAGGAUCUGGAUGUGAUCUCUCAGUUGCUGCUCAGGUGUUCUGCCUGCCUGCUGCCAUGCUCCUUGCUGUGAUGAUAAUAGACUCCUAUCGCUCUGGAACCGAAAAAAACUAAAAAAAAAAAGCCUUCCUUCUAUAAGUUGCUUUGGUCAUGGCAAUAGAAAGGUAAUCCAAGGACAUUUGUUGAA